RNAcentral lists this ribosomal RNA (440 nucleotides) under uncultured bacterium. RNAcentral's name for it is "partial 16S ribosomal RNA". It matches the Rfam family "Bacterial small subunit ribosomal RNA", at positions 338 to 795 of the family's 1533-position model. The record is from RNAcentral.
CCUACGGGUGGCAGCAGUGGGGAAUAUUGCACAAUGGGGGCAACCCUGAUGCAGCGACGCCGCGUGAGUGAAGAAGUAUUUCGGUGUGUUAAGCUCUGUCAGCAGGGAAGAAAAUGACGGUACCUGACCAAGAUGCCCCGGCUAACUACGUGCCAGCAGCCGCGGUAAUACGUAGGGGGCAAGCGUUAUCCGGAUUUACUGGGUGUAAAGGGAGCGUAGACGGCAGGGCAAGUCUGGAGUGAAAGGCGGGGGCUCAACCCCCGGACUGCAAUGGAAACUGGCAGGCUGGAGUGCAGGAGAGGUAGGUGGAAUUCCUAGUGUAGCGGUGAAAUGCGUAGAUAUUAGGAGGAACACCAGUGGCGAAGGCAGCUUACUGAACUGUAACUGACGUGGAUGCUCGAAAGCGUGGGGAGCAAACAGGAUUAGAUACCCCUGUAGUC